CCCUUAGAUGUUCUGGGCCGCACGCGCGCUACACUGAUAAUGUCAACAAGCUUUACCUUGGCCGAUAGGUCUGGGCAAUCUUCGAACUAUUAUCGUGAUGGGGCUAGAUUAUUGCAACUAUUAAUCUUAAACGAGGAAUUCCUAGUAAGCGCGAGUCAUCAGCUCGCGUUGAUUACGUCCCUGCCCUUUGUACACACCGCCCGUCGCUCCUACCGAUUUUGAGUGGUCCGGUGAACCUUCUGGAUUGUGCGGCUUGCCGCGCGAGAAGUUAUGUAAACCUUAUCACUUAGAGGAAGGAGAAGUCGUAACA
This 310-nucleotide ribosomal RNA is filed under the name uncultured eukaryote. Its description in RNAcentral is "partial 18S ribosomal RNA". It matches the Rfam family "Eukaryotic small subunit ribosomal RNA", at positions 1470 to 1796 of the family's 1831-position model. The record is from RNAcentral.